CCUUCAAAAUACGUCAAGCUGGGAGCAGGAAAGUCAGGAAUGUAUUUCCUGAUUGAAUCCCAGGUAUGAACAUCACUUUUCCCCACCACCAACCCUCCUCUGACCACAAAAUACUCUGUUUUAAAGCUGAUUUUUGCACAUGACGCCAUCACAUGUUUUCCAGAUGGGCUGAGGGCAUCCCUGGAGAUGGGGGUUCCUGCAGAAAUCCUCCCUCGGGCUUCAACUCCCUAAAUCCCUUUGGAAAAAGCCUUUCCAACACUGACCUCUGCAGGAGAGGAACUGCCUAAAACCAGCUGACUCUGGGCAACAAUAACCUAAAUAAUACAUAAACCGUGUGUUUCCUGCUGGCUGUGGCCCACGGUGUGCCCACCCCGUGCCCACCACUCACAUGAGCCGGUUGCGGAUGGGGCGGAAGUGUUUGUUCAGGUACUGGGUGAAGUAUCUCAGCUCCUUCCUCGUGAAGCAACCGAUCUCCUGGGAAGGGGGAAGGCAGCGUGGAGGGACAGUGCCACGAUUUCCAGCCCUGCUCCAACCACCUCUGGGCUAAUGUCAGACUUGGAACAAGAGCUGGAAGCUUCAGGUGCUCCUUCCCCUCUUGCGCUCUUUCCUUCUGGAAUUUUGUACCCCCUGAGGGCUCAUCCAGCCCCGUCUCACCUGCCGCAGGAUCUGCUGGGCUUGCACGGGCAGCCGGGCUUCCACCGAGGCCGUGGUGGCCAGUGUCCUCUUCACCCGCUCCUGGGGGGGCACAGCAAGAGCAUCCUUAGAGCAGGGAGCAGCAGGAUGGGUGCCCCAGGGUGCUGGGAGCAGGGCGUGCCAAGCUCUAAGCUGGGUCCAGUUCCCAGAGGGCAGGGAAAGAGGGAUGUGCCCCUGUUGCAGGGGGAUUUCUGAUUUGCAGCAGCAAAUCUAAUCACCAAAGGAGAUUGAUCCUCCCUGGAUGGUGUUUUUCCUGGCUCUCCCAUCACCCUGUAACUGGUGUUUUUCCUGGCUCUCCCAUCACCCUGUAACUGGGUUUUUUGGGGGAUACUGGCAGACAGGACCCACAGGGCACCACAUAUUUUUUGGAGCUGGAAGAAGGCGUGGAAGUACCUUGAGAUGUGGUGCCAAGCGGGAGAGGAACUGGACGCUUUCCCCCAGCUUUGCCUGUGGGACAGUGAGGUGAGAAGGAUGAAAAAGCCUUCAAAGGGACACCACUGGGCAGUGCCAGUGGUACCACAAGCCACCAGCCCGGCACAGACUCACCACCAAAGCCUCCUGUGACUGCACUGUGGAGUUUUGCAUCUGCCACAGGGCUCGGGCCUCGGCUCCCAGCCGUCCUGCCACCGUGCUGUUCCUCUGCGGGGGACAGUGGGGUGAGGACACCCCCAUGGGCACAGAGGGAUCCCCCAAGGGCAUGGAGAGAUUCCCCACCACCCACCCUGCUGCUCACCUGCAUUUUCUGCAGCCCCUCGAGGUUCCUGGCCAAGCCAGGCAGGCUGGUCUGCACCAAGGGGUUUUUCAUCUGAGAGAAAACAGAGUCGGUGGCUGCCCAAAAUCCAAACCUGGAGGACUGUCCCGGUAUGGGGCUGCAUCCUGCUCCCUGCAGAGGGAUCCAGCUCCCCUCACCUCCUCCUGGAAGCGCCCAUAGUCCACCUCGUCCAGGCCGCUGCGGGCGAAGGUCUCCAGGUCCUGCCUGCCCUCGCUGCGCAGGAGCCGCACGUCCCCCAGGUGGGCAGUGAAGUCUCCCAGGCGUUUUUGGAAGUCAGCCGUGUACUGUGAGGGUUGGACAAGGGGUCCUGCAGGGCUGAGGCCAGGCACCUCCAUCCCAGUAACCCCAGUAAAGCUCCUGCAUCCCUGAGCCGUUACCAGCAGCUCUGGCUGGUGCUGCCCUCACCUUGGGGGUUUUCAGGUGCUCAUCCAGGUCGUAGGACCUGUCGAGCUGCAGCACCUCCCACAGCCCUGCACCGCUCUUGCAGUCCCUGGAAGGCAAAGGGGUGUUGGCAGCAUGAUCCCAAAUUUGCCCUGGAUGUGCAGGGACAGGGGUGGGCUCUUGCAGCACCCACCGGUAUGUGGCACUGAGGUUGGAGUCCCUCCUCAGGUUGAGCUGGCGGGUGAGGUUCAUGGAUGGAGGGAGAUUCCCAGGGGUGUCAAUGAACUGGGCCAAACAGGAGGAAAGAGAGGGUCAGGGUCAGGCACAGGCAUUCCCAGCAAUGAUUCUGGGGGUGCUCUGCCCUCACAGUUGUGUCCUGAGGUACCUCAUCCCAUCCAGAACUAAUCUUGCCUUUAUUUGUACGGUCCCCCCUGCAGAGACUCACCCAGUGUGUUCAGAGGGAAAGCAGUGGACAGCCCUGUGCUGGGACCUGCCUGCAUGUGUCCAGCCAUGGGAUGAGUCCUGAUCCCAUCCUCAAUCCCCCAACCCCUCUCUCAGCACCAUCACACCAUGUGCCAGCCCCAAGCACCCCAGAGAUCCCCAAGGACCAGGGAACAGGGAUCCCACAGGUAGCAAAUAAACAGCCUGAAGGAAUUUCCCUGCUGCUGAUGCAAAUCCAGGGACAUCAUCCUAAACUUAAUCUUCUGGUCUAGGAUGGGGCUUUUCCAGUCAGGUUUAGUGGGAGGAUUAGUGGGAGGACAAAGAGUGUUUGGAGGCAUUUUGGAGCACACAAGCAGAGAUUUAUGUGGCGACAGGUGCAUGUGUGGCCACCCACCUUAUAAAUCUCCUGGUUGACCCAAUUCCUGCAAACCAGAGUCUGGAUGUUGCCCCCAACCAGGAAGGUGGCGAAAACGAGGAGGAUGAGGAGCCAGGAGAACAGGAAAGCCAGGCCCACGCCGCUGCAGGAGGGAGAGGAGGGGGUGGGUCUGCAGCCCCGAGAGGGCAGGACAGGGGCUUGCAGGGACCUGCCCGUCCAGCUGCAGCCCUGGGGCUCCUUCCCGAGCCCGGGCACGCUGGGCUGGGAAGGGCCCUGGGAGUGGGGUGUGCCAGGCAGCGGGGCCAGGGCACAGGAGCUGCCAGCUCCCAGGGAGGAGCCGCUUCUCCCACUCCUCCCGGCGCAGGCGGUGGCAUCAAAAGCCUUUCCACUGGGCUGCCUCCCAGUUCCUCCCUGGGCUUUGCCCUCCUGGGUUUUUUUGGGGGGAUGAGAUGGAACAGUCCCUUUGGGACACAGGGGGAUGCUUACACCAGGAGGAACUUGGCACCAGCCUCUCCUCGGCACUCGUAGUCACUCGGGUCCUCACGCUUGGAAAGCCCGUAGGCUCCCAGAGCCAUUCCCAUCACGUUGCAGGCAAGGAUGAGGAGGAUGAUGGAGCACAGCACCGUGCCCGCGAUCCACCUGGGGGCAGAGCAGCAGGGCACAGCCUCGAGAGAGUAUCCUGUCUGUUUAAUCCUGAGAACCAGCUGAGGAACAGCUUUGUAUCACAAGACCACUACGUAAAGGAGAGUAAGGUGCAUCACUUCAGAAAAGGAAGGGCAGCACUCAAUGUGCUUGAUAAACAACGACUUCAAAGUCUCUAAAUCCAUUAACUUGAUGUUACCACAGUUCAGUUUAGCAGCACGUUGAGUGUAAUAUUUCUCAAAGUUGCUUCAA
This is a long non-coding RNA of Pseudopipra pipra, 3557 nucleotides long. RefSeq lists it as uncharacterized. The transcript has 3 exons. The record is from RefSeq and is a predicted model, not a curated record. NCBI's taxonomy places the organism in Eukaryota, Metazoa, Chordata, Aves, Passeriformes, Pipridae.